CUACGGGCGGCAGCAGUGAGGAAUAUUGCACAAUGGGGGGAACCCUGAUGCAGCAACGCCGCGUGGAGGAUGACGCAUUUCGGUGUGUAAACUCCUUUUAUAUGUCAAGAAAAUGACGGUAGCAUAUGAAUAAGCACCGGCUAACUCCGUGCCAGCAGCCGCGGUAAUACGGAGGGUGCAAGCGUUACUCGGAAUCACUGGGCGUAAAGGACGCGUAGGCGGGUUGGAAAGUCAGGUGUGAAAUCCUACAGCUUAACUGUAGAACUGCACUUGAAACUUCUAAUCUAGAGUAUGGGAGGGGGGGAUGGAAUUAGUGGUGUAGGGGUAAAAUCCGUAGAUAUCACUAGGAAUACCUAAAGCGAAGGCGAUCUCCUGGAACAUUACUGACGCUAAGGCGUGGAAGCGUGGGGAGCAAACAGGAUUAGAUACCCCAGUAGUC
RNAcentral lists this ribosomal RNA (439 nucleotides) under uncultured bacterium. RNAcentral describes it as "partial 16S ribosomal RNA". It matches the Rfam family "Bacterial small subunit ribosomal RNA", at positions 339 to 795 of the family's 1533-position model. The record is from RNAcentral.